UGGGGAAUAUUGGACAAUGGGCGAAAGCCUGAUGCAGCAACGCCGCGUGCGGGAAGAAGGCCCUAGGGUUGUAAACCGCUUUCAGCAGGGAAGAAAAUGACGGUACCUGCAGAAGAAGGUGCGGCCAACUACGUGCCAGCAGCCGCGGUGACACGUAGGCACCAAGCGUUGUCCGGAUUUAUUGGGCGUAAAGAGCUCGUAGGCGGUUCAGUAAGUCGGGUGUGAAAACUCUGGGCUCAACCCAGAGACGCCACCCGAUACUGCUGUGACUUGAGUACGGUAGGGGAGUGGGGAAUUCCUGGUGUAGCGGUGAAAUGCGCAGAUAUCAGGAGGAACACCAGUGGCGAAGGCGCCACUCUGGGCCGUAACUGACGCUGAGGAGCGAAAGCGUGGGGAGCAAACAGGAUUAGAUACCCCAGUAGUCCCUGAGCGGGCUGGCAAGGCGCAU
This 448-nucleotide ribosomal RNA is filed under the name uncultured bacterium. RNAcentral's name for it is "bacterial SSU rRNA". It matches the Rfam family "Bacterial small subunit ribosomal RNA", at positions 355 to 825 of the family's 1533-position model. The record is from RNAcentral.